This is a long non-coding RNA of Sinocyclocheilus grahami, 430 nucleotides long. RefSeq lists it as uncharacterized. The record is from RefSeq and is a predicted model, not a curated record. The transcript has 5 exons. Lineage: Eukaryota; Metazoa; Chordata; Actinopteri; Cypriniformes; Cyprinidae.
UAGCCAACUGAUGCCAUGGCUAUAUGACAAUACAGUAAAUUGUCGGAUUGCACAAAUUGCCUCAGAAAACCAGAAUGUUGCAGCCUUGACAACUGACACAUUUAUUUAGUGGUACAGGGACUGGCUGGCUUCAAGAAAUAUUUCUGAUUCACAUCUGAAAAUUCUUGAGAAUGAUGCACAGAAAACACUUCUACCAAGAAUUGUUGGCAUGGAUAGGACACCAGAAACAGGAUGCCACUUCAUUCUUUGGGUUUUUGACAAGAUCGAAAAACAAAUAAGGAUUUAUGACAACACAGGACGUCACAUGAACAUUUCACCCUCAGAUAUGGACAUUCUGAAGUAAUACAUUUUAAUUACAUAUUUUAUGUUUUACACAGUUAUUUUAAAAACAUUUCAUGACUUGGGUACAGUCUGCUUUAAGUCAAUUUCU